CUUUCUCCCAGCUUUCUCAGAGAAUGACUGUUCAGGUGGGUGAGACUACAGUAAAAAUUUCUUUCAAAAACAAAUUUCUUGCACCCGCUCUGCUGCAGUUGCUACUGCGCUUUAUUGCAAGGUUACGG
Molecule: non-coding RNA, 128 nt
Organism: Otolemur garnettii (small-eared galago)
Lineage: Eukaryota; Metazoa; Chordata; Mammalia; Primates; Galagidae
Source: Rfam